GUCGGGUCGUAGGACACGUUCAGGAUGGUCGUGUCCGCAAGCGCGAGGCCAAUCGA
Molecule: small RNA, 56 nt
Filed under: Sinorhizobium meliloti 2011
Lineage: Bacteria; Pseudomonadati; Pseudomonadota; Alphaproteobacteria; Hyphomicrobiales; Rhizobiaceae
Description: putative ncRNA
Source: RNAcentral